UUUCUAAAGUGAAUUUAACAUUUAAAUUACUUUUUUAAAUGCAAUCAAAAAAGUAUAUUUCGAUAUAAAGAGGAUGAGAAAAAGAAACAUGAAUGCACGGAAUGUAAACAAAUAUUUGCAAUGAAAUCGCACUUAGAUGUGCACCUGAGAAGCCAUACUGGUGAGAAACCGUUUCCAUGCGAUAUUUGCGGUAAAAAAUUCUCCCAGUCUGGAAAUUUAACAAUGCACAAAAGAAUACAUUCGGAAGAACGACCUUUCAAAUGCAACUGUGGAUACGCUACAAAAAUUAAAUUUUUGUAGAGUAUCCACAGCGUAUCUGUUAUCACAUGUCAAACGAUUGUGAGGCCAGCCGAUUAGGGGUGAGGUGUUUUCGACAGCCGAGCGGUUAAUACUGUCGUGUGGGCGCGGAAUGACUCACCGAGACAGGUUUACCAUAUAAAACCGUUUAAUAAUAUACAUAAAUUGUUCUUACAACAAUUCAAGAAGUCAGGCGAACGCCUAUCCACCGAUGGGUUACUAAAACAGUUCCCAAACAACACGGAAAAGUUCGACAGUUCGGUCGGUCCUUGGGUGUUUCGCACGUCGGACGCAGAGAACGAUGUCCCCGGAGCACGCACCAGCACUUGUCGCGAUGUCCUCGGUUAACGAGUUGAACCUCGGCGAUCCUGGACAGAACGGGUUGUCGAAACCAGCUCCUAGGGCGUCGAAAGAGCCUUCGUUGUGUCUCUGUCGUGAGCACCAAAUCCCAGCAGGGUAGCGCUACGCACCAAAACCCAAGACUCCGUAAAGUUCCCGAAAACGCGGUUUUAUCAAUUUUUCCACCGCGGUCGCCUCUCCAUUGGUCUCUCCUCGUCACAUGGUGACAAUUCGAAACUCCAGGAAGGGCGCGGGAGAGUUCAACGUCGCGUCGGAACACGACUCCUC
Molecule: long non-coding RNA, 924 nt
Organism: Centruroides sculpturatus (bark scorpion)
Lineage: Eukaryota; Metazoa; Arthropoda; Arachnida; Scorpiones; Buthidae
Exons: 3
Source: RefSeq, a predicted model, not a curated record